GACGAACGCUGGCGGCGUGCUUAACACAUGCAAGUCGAACGGGUCUGCCCUGUUUUUUGCGGGGUGGGUCAGUGGCGAACGGGUGAGUAACACGUGAGUAACCUGCCCCUCACUUCUGGAUAACCGCUUGAAAGGGUGGCUAAUACGGGGUGUUCUGGCUGUGCCGCAUGGUGUGGCUGGGAAAGAUUCACUUUUGUGGUGUUUUGGUGGGGGAUGGGCUCGCGGCCUAUCAGCUUGUUGGUGGGGUGAUGGCCUGCCAAGGCUUUGACGGGUAGCCGGCCUGAGAGGGUGGGCGGUCACACUGGGACUGAGAUACGGCCCAGACUCCUGCGGGAGGCAGCAGUGGGGGGUAUUGCACAAUGGGCGGAAGCCUGAUGCAGCAACGUCGCGUGAGGGAUGGAGGCCUUCGGGUUGUGAACCUCUUUCGCCGGUGAAGAAGGUCCUGCUCUUUGUGGUGGGGUUGACGGUAGCCGGGUUAUGAAGCGCCGGCUAACUACGUG
This 500-nucleotide ribosomal RNA is filed under the name uncultured bacterium. RNAcentral's name for it is "partial 16S ribosomal RNA". It matches the Rfam family "Bacterial small subunit ribosomal RNA", at positions 28 to 507 of the family's 1533-position model. The record is from RNAcentral.